CUUCCCAGCGAAACGUGUGCGUGCCAACCGUCCUCAAGGCUAUAGCUGUAUUCUACCCUAAGAGAAGCUUUCCGUAAUACUAUGCUUCCGUUAGGACGCGAUUUUCUCGAGUUCGCCCCACCUCAGGGUGAUUUUCCCACACCCCUAACCCCACCUGCAACACCCCAUUUUCUCCUAGGCUUUUAGGAGUGGCCUGAGAGGUGCUUGCAGGGUGUUCCAUUUUGCCUUAGACAGCUUAGGAGACCAACCAAAUGCCUGGAGAUCUGUAUCUAUCGUUAGGCUCCUAGUGGGAUUCACACAAAACCAGUAUGUGUGGGCACAUUCUCCUAGCAGCUCGGUGUCUUUUUGCUGUUGCAGAGGUGAUUUCCAGGCGGAGCUGACCAGUGGGGUUCUCUGGCUGAGGGGAAGACCAGCAGUCAGCUGGUGGAUGUUCUUCUGGAAGAAAUAGCAACGGGAGCUCUAAGAGAGAGAAAUGGCUUCCCUGCAUGGGAGGAGGCGGGGAGCGCUGAAGCUUUCGUGGCCAAGCCCCGGAGCCAGGAUGUCAGGGAGAAGCAGGAGUAUCUGAGCCAGCUGAAGAACAAGCUGGGAGAUCUACUAGAGGGGAAGGCAGAUGAUCUGAAGACUGCUUUCUGUGCGAUUGAUCCCGGUAUCGACGAUCAGACGCUAGAUACCUACAUUGACCUGCCAGACCAAGAUGUGCCUGUGGAAACUGCACUCGAGAGGCUGCUUGCUGGAUAUGCGAGACGAGUAGGGCCCUCGCCCAGGGAGGGAAGCACGACAGGCUUUGGAGGGGAGGAAGGAGACUUCCAAUAAUAAGAAUAAAUGGACUGUUUGAUCUACA
This is a long non-coding RNA of Falco peregrinus (peregrine falcon), 841 nucleotides long. RefSeq lists it as uncharacterized. The record is from RefSeq and is a predicted model, not a curated record. The transcript has 3 exons. NCBI's taxonomy places the organism in Eukaryota, Metazoa, Chordata, Aves, Falconiformes, Falconidae.